This 610-nucleotide ribosomal RNA is filed under the name Desmazierella acicola. RNAcentral's name for it is "eukaryotic LSU rRNA". It matches the Rfam family "Eukaryotic large subunit ribosomal RNA", at positions 1 to 625 of the family's 3401-position model. Lineage: Eukaryota; Fungi; Ascomycota; Pezizomycetes; Pezizales; Sarcoscyphaceae. The record is from RNAcentral.
UUGGCCUCGAAUCAGGUAGGGAUACCCGCUGAACUUAAGCAUAUCAAUAAGCGGAGGAAAAGAAACCAACAGGGAUUGCCUUAGUAACUGCGAGUGAAGCGGCAAGAGCUCAAAUUUGAAAUCUGGCGCCUUUGGCGUCCGAGUUGUAAUUUGGAGAGGCAUCUUCGGGUGCGGCGCCGGCCUAAGUUCCUUGGAACAGGACGUCAUAGAGGGUGAGAAUCCCGUUCUCGGCUGGCUGUCCGCGUCCAUGUGAAGUGUCUUCGACGAGUCGAGUUGUUUGGGAAUGCAGCUCAAAAUGGGUGGUAAACUCCAUCUAAAGCUAAAUACUGGCGAGAGACCGAUAGCGCACAAGUAGAGUGAUCGAAAGAUGAAAAGCACUUUGAAAAGAGAGUUAAAAAGUACGUGAAAUUGUUGAAAGGGAAGCGCUUGAGACCAGACUCGGCGGGAGGUAUUCAUCGUCCCUUCUGGGGCGUGCACUUGCCUCUCGUCGGGCCAGCAUCGGUUGCGGCGGCGGGAUAAAGACCCGGGGAACGUGGCUGCUCUCGGGCAGUGUUAUAGCCCCGGGUGUCAUGCCGCCUGCUGCGACCGAGGACCGCGCUCGGCUAGGAUG